GCUUACACAUGCAAGUCGAGCGGUAACAGAGAUAGCUUGCUAUCUGCUGACGAGCGGCGGACGGGUGAGUAAUGCUUGGGAAUAUGCCUUUGAGUGGGGGACAACAGUUGGAAACGACUGCUAAUACCGCAUAACGUCUACGGACCAAAGGGGGGGAUGCUUCGGCACCUCUCGCUCAUUGAUUAGCCCAAGUGAGAUUAGCUAGUUGGUAAGGUAAUGGCUUACCAAGGCGACGAUCUCUAGCUGGUUUGAGAGGAUGAUCAGCCACACUGGGACUGAGACACGGCCCAGACUCCUACGGGAGGCAGCAGUGGGGAAUAUUGCACAAUGGGCGAAAGCCUGAUGCAGCCAUGCCGCGUGUGUGAAGAAGGCCUUCGGGUUGUAAAGCACUUUCAGCGAGGAGGAAAGGUUAGUAGUUAAUAGCUGCUAGCUGUGACGUUACUCGCAGAAGAAGCACCGGCUAACUUCGUGCCAGCAGCCGCGGUAAUACGAGGGGUGCAAGCGUUAAUCGGAAUUACUGGGCGUAAAGCGUGCGUAGGUGGUUUGUUAAGCAAGAUGUGAAAGCCCCGGGCUCAACCUGGGAACUGCAUUUUGAACUGGCAAAC
This 605-nucleotide ribosomal RNA is filed under the name uncultured bacterium. Its description in RNAcentral is "bacterial SSU rRNA". It matches the Rfam family "Bacterial small subunit ribosomal RNA", at positions 46 to 641 of the family's 1533-position model. The record is from RNAcentral.